GGGUUGUGAGGUUAAGCGACUAAGCGUACACGGUGGAUGCCUAGGCAGUCAGAGGCGAUGAAGGGCGUGCUAAUCUGCGAUAAGCGUCGGUAAGCUGAUAUGAAGCGUUAUACCCGACGAUACCCGAAUGGGGAAACCCAGUGUGUUUCGACACACUAUCAUGACAUGAAUCCAUAGUGUCAUGAGGCGAACCGGGGGAACUGAAACAUCUCAGUACCCCGAGGAAAAGAAAUCAACCGAGAUUCCCCCAGUAGCGGCGAGCGAACGGGGAGGAGCCCAGAACCUGAAUCAGUUUGUGUGUUAGUGGAAGCGUCUGGAAAGUCGCACAGUAAAGGGUGAUAGUCCCGUACACAAAAAUGCACAGAUUGUGAGUUCGAUGAGUAGGGCGGGACACGUGACAUCCUGUCUGAAUAUGGGGGGACCAUCCUCCAAGGCUAAAUACUCCUGACUGACCGAUAGUGAACCAGUACCGUGAGGGAAAGGCGAAAAGAACCCCGGCGAGGGGAGUGAAAUAGAACCUGAAACCGUGUACGUACAAGCAGUGGGAGCCUACUUGUUAGGUGACUGCGUACCUUUUGUAUAAUGGGUCAGCGACUUAUAUUCUGUAGCAAGGUUAACCGUAUAGGGGAGCCGCAGGGAAACCGAGUCUUAACUGGGCGUUAAGUUGCAGGGUAUAGACCCGAAACCCGGUGAUCUAGCCAUGGGCAGGUUGAAGGUUGGGUAACACUAACUGGAGGACCGAACCGACUAAUGUUGAAAAAUUAGCGGAUGACUUGUGGCUGGGGGUGAAAGGCCAAUCAAACCGGGAGAUAGCUGGUUCUCCCCGAAAGCUAUUUAGGUAGCGCCUCGUGAAUUCAUCUUCGGGGGUAGAGCACUGUUUCGGCUAGGGGGUCAUCCCGACUUACCAACCCGAUGCAAACUACGAAUACCGAAGAAUGUUAUCACGGGAGACACACGGCGGGUGCUAACGUUCGUCGUGAAGAGGGAAACAACCCAGACCGCCAGCUAAGGUCCCAAAGUCAUGGUUAAGUGGGAAACGAUGUGGGAAGGCAUAGACAGCCAGGAUGUUGGCUUAGAAGCAGCCAUCAUUUAAAGAAAGCGUAAUAGCUCACUGGUCGAGUCGGCCUGCGCGGAAGAUGUAACGGGGCUAAACCAUGCACCGAAGCUGCGGCAGCGACACUUAG
Molecule: ribosomal RNA, 1184 nt
Filed under: Pectobacterium brasiliense
Lineage: Bacteria; Pseudomonadati; Pseudomonadota; Gammaproteobacteria; Enterobacterales; Pectobacteriaceae
Description: bacterial LSU rRNA
Rfam family: Bacterial large subunit ribosomal RNA
Source: RNAcentral